RNAcentral lists this long non-coding RNA (1731 nucleotides) under Pomacea canaliculata. RNAcentral's name for it is "uncharacterized LOC112556398, transcript variant X3". The record is from RNAcentral. Lineage: Eukaryota; Metazoa; Mollusca; Gastropoda; Architaenioglossa; Ampullariidae.
ACACAUUCUUUUAACGAUGCUAUAGGCAGUUAUUUUCUCACUUAAACAUACCGUUUUGACUCCGAUAAAGCAGAGAAACAGCAAGCCGAUUGUUUACACAAAAAAAGGGGUUACAAUGGUCAACAACAGGGCAGGUCAAAGAUGAGAAGAUGAGUAGAGCGAGGAACUGGUGGAGAGAAACUGGAAAUGGGGAGUUGGAUUAUGUCCUGCAGUACCCACUUUCCGCCAGUGAGGUGAGAACAGCUCGCGUACCGCCGGGAGAAUCGAACUGUGUGCGCUGGCUUUCGCGCCGCGUCCCCUCUGGAUGCAGAUGACAGUGGAAGGUGCUCGCUGGUCGCGUUGGCGCAGGUUCUUAUUAUUGUCAGCCUCCAUGUUGCCGUGCCUGCUGGCGCAAUAACAAGCUCGCCUUCAGUGGGUAUUGCAUCGUGUGACUGCACAACAUUCCAGGCACAGGCGUUCCAGAAAAAAUACUUAGUGUCUGCUCAUUCAGGCUUUGGCUGUCGUCCAAUUACAGGAGGAGAGAGAGAGAGGAAAAAAAGAUUCUUCAGGUUUUAAAAAAAUGCGAUUUUUGCGCAGGUUUGCAGAUGCUAGAAUAGUUUGUUUUUUUUUAAUUUGCGGGUUCCAGGCUGUGUUCCAGUGCCGGAGAGCUUUUGCUGCAGUCGAUCGUCUUGUCCUAAAGGUGUGCGUCGCACAAGGGCGUCAGAGUGCCGAGGGAGGAAGUGGCUUGAGAGCCUGACGUGCGCUGUAGGAGUCGCAGAACACUGACCACUGUAGUCCUGCAGGCUGUCUGUUACACGUGGUCUCCGCCACCACUACCGUAGCUGUCCUCAACUGCCGUGCCGAUGACGUCGGGUCCGCGUGCACGGUCACCUCUGGCCGCGUCUUGACUCAGCCAGCGGACAGGCUCCACAGUGCUUGCCGUUUUAAGGAGUGGCGGACAACUUGUCUCACAAACCGCUUCUGAUCCUUUUUUUUUUGUUCCACCGAGAACAGUGGUGACAAGUUGCAAGUGGCCUGUCAGAGCUGCUGCGAACGUUGAUUGUAGCUCGUGGCUGUAGACUGCUGGACAGGAAGAAAAUGGUGCUGUUUGCUGACCAUUGCAGACAGGACAUGUGGUGCCAGGACUGAGAAGGGCCGCAGGUAACGCGAAUGUGGUCAGCUGACUGCACCCCGCGGACGGGAUAAACAUUGCUAGUGUCACUGGUCUGUAACUGUAGACUUCCCACUGGUACCAGCAUCACAACUUUGGACUGUUCCGAACUGAUCGCUACCACUGUGUUCUGUUGUGUCGCCGAGGUUUUGUUUAACGUCAAGACACAUUCUAUCACGUGACCGCGGUGGAAAGGCGCACGCGCUAUCGCCUCCCAGUGGAAUAGCAGGGGCAAGGCAGGAGCCAGCGGUGGAGAACACCUGCCGAGGUCGCUUUUGCAGGUGCAGAUGAGACGCCCACACUGCGGUUGGAGUGUAACGACCGAUGUGUCAGUGGUGAGACGAUGAGCCUGGCAUUUGUCUGGUGCUGUGUUGGAACUCUCGUACUUGCCGAGUGGACUGUCUCGUAGGAACUAAGGCUGGAGAACUGAGAUAAGUGUAUUGGAACCCGUGUUUAAGCCUACCCUGAUGCCUGGUACCCGGUGAAGAUGGAGGGGGGAGUGACUGGCGGCGGGCCUGGGGAGGGGAUAUGUCCGGCCUGCCGCCUGCCCUUCGACUCGGGCAAGAAGCGGCGCCUCAUCG